Molecule: non-coding RNA, 1262 nt
Organism: Macaca mulatta (Rhesus monkey)
Lineage: Eukaryota; Metazoa; Chordata; Mammalia; Primates; Cercopithecidae
Source: RefSeq, a predicted model, not a curated record
GCAAGCCCAAAAGGUCUGCCCGCUGCAAUGGGGAUAAGGGAAACUGGCCCCAGAAGCUUCUUUGGUGACAUGAACUCUGUCUUUCCAAUGCAGACAUCUCCUCGGUGAAACCCUAAGUGAGACAGAAGUUAUUCUUAUUCCUCUAAAAGUCUCCCUAGUGCCUCGCAGUCUGGGACGGCUCUUCGGUCUUUGUCCAUCGUUACCUUGACACUUGAAUACUGGCCAGUUAUUCUCCAAAAUGUCCCUUCUUUGAAGACUGCCUGAUGCUUUCUCCUGGUUAGGUGGAGGUUAUGCCUUUGGGACAAGAAUACCACAAAGGUGACCUGUGCUUUUCCCACCGUGCCAUAGCAGAGGUUCAUGAUGUUACGUCCCAUUUCUGUCGAUGUCGUCCUUGAUCACUUGGCUAAAGCGGCUCCUUCAGGCUUCUGUACUGCGGAGUUGCUGUUUUUCCCUUUGUGAUUAACAUCUUUGGGGGAGGAGCCUCGAGACCUUGCAAAUGGCCUGUUUUGCAUCAUCCUCUGGCCCACUUCUGUCGCAUCCAUCCAUGGCCCACCCCUGCAGCAAUCAGUGUGAUGUAGGCCUAGCAGUCGUUUUCUAUGUUUCUUACUCCCUUGAGGUUUAAUAACUGGAAUUCUGCUCUAAGGGAAAGCACCCUCUUCUCUCCCGUUUCUUUAUUUGUUCAAUCAUUUAUUUAUCUCAGCAUGAAUUUGUGGGUAUUUGUUUAUUCUGCGGGUCAUCAUCUAUUAUUAUCAUUGUUUAUUUUCUUGCUAAAUUGUCUCAGAUUUGGCCAUAGGGAGCUUCAUCAAGUUGGAGCCUGUAUCUUUCCUACACCAAACUGCUCUUACGUGUAAGCAAAGUUCCAUUAUAUGGAGUUGCUGGAAACUUUGUCCUUUCUGGGAAUUAUGCAGAAGAAUGAAAAAGGCUUCAAAGUACAUUUGCAAAGAUGGAUGAGCUGGUGUUAUCAAUGUCGAGCAGUUAAACAAAGCCCUGUCUUCCAAAACCAUGUUCUUGCCAUGAGGUCACCAGGUACCGCUGCCUUGUUAUCUGCACCGUGGCAGGCUGCUUCUCCUACCUUGACUGCCACGCCAUGGGCGUCUUGAAAACACGCCGCCUCUAAGUGGACACAAUCUUCCUCUGCCUUGUUGAGAUUCUUUCCCCUUUGGUUGCCAUUCAGACCCAAGAAUCUGGUCCUGGCAGAUUUGUAGCUUUUCGUUUCUGAAUUCUUCAAAUGCUUUAAAGGAAUGUGAGAGGCAUAGAGAUCU